GCCGCCAUCGCUUCCGGUUGGGGGGUCAGGCGGCGGCGACGAAAAGGGCGCGAAAGGCGCGAGGACGGAGAGCCAGCGACGACCGCCAUGUGACGAGGGAGAGAAACACGUUUCCUGAUCAAAGUUACAAAGUGGUGGAGGAGUUAGUGUUUCCUGCGACAUUAUUCACCAUUGGCUCUACUUGUAGAUUUAUCCUCGGCAUUUUGGGGCGGAUGCGGCGAAUCUGUGAAGUUAGAAACCAGAUUACUUGAAAAAAAAAUCUGCUGAUAUAGGUCAUAGAAGUUGUAGGUUUGGAGGUGUUGUUGAAGAAGCUUCGGUGAGUAAAUGCAGUGCACUUUGUGGAUGGCCAUGGUGUGCCAGUGAAUUAAUGUUUAAUCAAGCUUUUAUCAAGUUGUUUAAUCAAGUUGUUGUAGCAAUUCUAAUCCAGGCAAGUGGAAAUUGGUGUCAGCA
This is a long non-coding RNA of Leucoraja erinaceus (little skate), 450 nucleotides long. RefSeq lists it as uncharacterized. The record is from RefSeq and is a predicted model, not a curated record. Lineage: Eukaryota; Metazoa; Chordata; Chondrichthyes; Rajiformes; Rajidae. The transcript has 3 exons.